GCACAAGCGGUGGAGCAUGUGGUUUAAUUCGAUGCAACGCGAAGAACCUUACCUGGCCUUGACAUCCUCUGACACUCCUAGAGAUAGGAAGUUCCCCUUCGGGGGACAGAGUGACAGGUGGUGCAUGGUUGUCGUCAGCUCGUGUCGUGAGAUGUUGGGUUAAGUCCCGCAACGAGCGCAACCCUUGAUCUUAGUUGCCAGCAUUCAGUUGGGCACUCUAAGGUGACUGCCGGUGACAAACCGGAGGAAGGUGGGGAUGACGUCAAAUCAUCAUGCCCCUUAUGACCUGGGCUACACACGUGCUACAAUGGGUGGUACAAAGGGCAGCAAAACCGCGAGGUCGAGCCAAUCCCAUAAAACCACUCUCAGUUCGGAUUGUAGGCUGCAACUCGCCUACAUGAAGCUGGAAUCGCUAGUAAUCGCGGAUCAGCCACGCCACGGUGAAUACGUUCCCGGGC
This 458-nucleotide ribosomal RNA is filed under the name uncultured bacterium. RNAcentral describes it as "bacterial SSU rRNA". It matches the Rfam family "Bacterial small subunit ribosomal RNA", at positions 923 to 1379 of the family's 1533-position model. The record is from RNAcentral.